This is an RNA transcript of Hippocampus comes (tiger tail seahorse), 2365 nucleotides long. It is a transcript of the gene named DEAD (Asp-Glu-Ala-Asp) box helicase 5, with no coding region annotated. Lineage: Eukaryota; Metazoa; Chordata; Actinopteri; Syngnathiformes; Syngnathidae. The record is from RefSeq and is a predicted model, not a curated record. The transcript is spliced from 12 exons.
CCCCUUUUUCUUUUACCGGCAUUUCAUCACCGCUACCGAGGUUAACGCAAAUAAGAGACCGGACUAGUCUAUUUAUCUCUUAUUUUCGAAUUAACGCUCCACAAAAACGCUAGUCAACAUGCCAGGAUAUUCCGACAGAGAUCGUGGCCGAGACAGGGACAGAGAUCGAGGUUACGGUGGCGGCCCUCAUCGUUUUGGUGGUGGCCGAGGCGGCGGCGGCGGCGGAGGAGGAGGAUCGAAGUUCGGCAACCCCGGUGACCGACUGCGAAAGAAACAUUGGAAUCUGGACGAGCUUCCAAAGUUUGAGAAGAACUUUUACCAGGAGCACCCGGACGUAACGAGGAGGCCUUUGCAAGAAGUUGAAAAUUAUAGAAGGACCAAAACCAUCACAGUGAAAGGGAGAAACUGCCCGAAUCCAAUUGUGAAUUUCCACGAAGCAAGCUUUCCAUCGUAUGUUAUGGAUGUCAUCAACAAGCAAAACUGGACAGACCCAACUCCCAUUCAGGCUCAGGGCUGGCCUUUAGCACUGAGUGGCAAUGACAUGGUUGGCAUCGCACAGACUGGUUCUGGCAAAACACUCUCAUAUCUGUUGCCUGCCAUCGUUCACAUCAACCACCAGCCUUUCCUGGAGCGCGGUGAUGGACCUAUUUGCUUGGUGCUGGCCCCAACUCGUGAGCUGGCCCAGCAGGUGCAACAGGUGGCUGCCGAGUAUGGCAGAGCUUCUCGCCUGAAGUCCACCUGUAUCUACGGAGGAGCCCCCAAGGGGCCGCAAAUUCGUGACCUUGAGCGAGGUGUUGAGAUCUGCAUCGCAACUCCAGGCAGGCUCAUCGACUUCCUUGAAGCAGGAAAGACCAACCUGCGCCGUUGCACCUACCUCGUAUUGGACGAGGCUGACAGAAUGCUGGACAUGGGAUUUGAACCACAGAUCAGGAAAAUUGUUGACCAGAUCAGACCUGAUCGUCAGACGCUGAUGUGGAGCGCCACCUGGCCAAAAGAGGUACGUCAGCUGGCUGAAGACUUUCUCAAAGACUACGUGCAAAUCAACGUUGGGGCCCUGCAACUCAGUGCAAACCACAACAUCCUUCAGAUUGUUGAUGUGUGCAAUGAUGGCGAGAAAGAGAACAAACUCAUUCGUUUGCUGGAGGAAAUUAUGAGCGAGAAGGAGAACAAGACUAUCAUUUUUGUAGAGACAAAGAGGCGAUGCGAUGACCUGACAAGAAGGAUGAGGCGAGACGGAUGGCCAGCAAUGGGAAUCCACGGAGAUAAGAGCCAGCAGGAGAGAGACUGGGUUCUUAAUGAAUUUAAAUAUGGAAAGGCUCCCAUUCUGAUUGCUACAGAUGUUGCAUCUCGUGGUCUAGGUCAGUAUCCUCCGUAAAGCACUGAAGUGUUUGAAUUUUUUUAGAGGAAAGUAUAUUGGCUUUCUUUAACUCUUCUGCUUCUCUCUGAGUCUCUCCCAUGGGCCAAAGGAGCAGUGUUUAUGGCAGGGCCUUGGCAUGACAAGCCCAGGUGUCCAGAGGGGGAAGGAGGAUUCUUGGAGAUGUCCUGACUGGCGAGGCACGGGUCUCCCAGUCGUGCACAUAAGCAGAGGUGUCAAGGUCCGAGUGCAACAUACAACGCGCUGGCCUAACUAAAAGCGGGGAAGGCCACAGUUCCUCCCCUCCAUGCUCGACUGUUCUCUGGCAACGGUUUGGACUGUGUCACACACCCAGGCUCUGUAACUGUCCCAGCUGAAAGCCCCGUCGCGUUGUCUGGACAAAAGCGAGUCCCGGGUCAUUCCUAAGGUGCUUUCGGUUGCGUAGGCCUGUUGUAAAGCAUGGGUGGCGUCGCUGUUGCAGUUCAACUUGCGUCGGACGAGCAGCUUGUAAGAUCGAUUGGAAUAUCACCUCUGCAGUAACAUGGCUACUGGCGCUAUAGGUGACAGUGGGACAUGCUAGUUGGACAAAUUCCAAGCUCACACUCCUCCCUCGCCUGCGUUAGAAAAGUCAUGUCGAGACCUGCCAACGAGAGACUGUGUGAUCACUGGGAUAAACUUGGCCCUGGCGACUGGGGUGCGCUGUUUGUAGGCAUCCUGCAAACCAGUUCACAUCUCCACUUUGUUGGCUAGAGACUGCCUAUGAACUUAGUAACCUCACCAGUGUACGUUGACAAAUGGACAUUGAGUCAAUCACUGACACUAGGAGGCAGUAGUGAGCAUAGUAGCCCUACUGUGUAGACAAUGUUGGGGGGGUGCGCUGCGAUGGGAACGGACUAGUGAAUGCACGCUCCAAUGAUGGAUGUUGAGGACGUGAAAUUUGUCAUCAACUUUGACUACCCCAACAACUCUGAGGACUAUAUCCACCGCAUUGGCAGAACGGCCCGUAGCCAA